RNAcentral lists this long non-coding RNA (337 nucleotides) under Ananas comosus (pineapple). RNAcentral describes it as "long non-coding RNA (ACOM_LNC029740)". The record is from RNAcentral. Lineage: Eukaryota; Viridiplantae; Streptophyta; Magnoliopsida; Poales; Bromeliaceae.
GCUACGGAAGGAUCUGAGCUAUGAUGAGGCGCCGUUGAGGAUUUUGGCACGUGAGAUGAAGCAACUACGGAAGAGGAGCAUUUCGUAUGUAAAAGUUCAGUGGGCAAAUCAUGAGGAGCGUGAGGCUACAUGGGAGCUUGAGUCUUCUAUGCGGGAGAGUUAUCCGCAGUUGUUUACGGGGGAUGUUUAAUUUAAGUUUCGGGGACGAAACUUCUUGUAAGGGGGGAAUGAUGUAAUAACCGAAAUUUUUGGAAAAUAAAAUUAAACCCUUGGUUGACGAUGUUUUUGUGUGUAAUAUAAUUACUAAAGCACUCGUCAAAUUUUAGGAGAAAAUGAG